Molecule: ribosomal RNA, 141 nt
Filed under: Triticum aestivum (bread wheat)
Lineage: Eukaryota; Viridiplantae; Streptophyta; Magnoliopsida; Poales; Poaceae
Description: partial small subunit ribosomal RNA
Source: RNAcentral
AUGAAAUUGAAAAUAUUCCGAGAUGGCAAGUAUUGGGAGACGACUAUGAAAACACCUCUUUGGAUCCUCGAAUUGAAAGAGAGAUUGAGAGGGAUCAAGAAUCCUAAUUCUCGCUAUUUGGAAUGGAUCCAAUUCUAUUGA